CCAUUUUUAGGCCUAAUUUUUAGACCUAACCCAUAAUUACGAAGCCCAUAAGACCAAACCCAUAUUCCCUUAACCUAGAAAAACCUUUCUUAAAAAACCUAGGGACCUAUUACGCAAAAGACCUAGGGACUAAUUGACCAAAUACACAAAAAGUACAUUAGACCUAGACCUAUAGAUAGGAAUAACGCCAAAAAUCCAAAGAGGGGACUACACACUGAUCAACCGCAACAGUGCAAAAGAGGAGACCCCUCUCUAAAUUUCAUCUCCUUGGUGACCCCCCCAGAAAUCUACCCGCAAGAGAACGCCCAAAGCUCUCUAUCUCUGUCCAUCGCCGGAAUUCACCACCGAUCGACCACCCCAUAAACACGACCACUCCCUGACUUCAUCUUCUUCAGUCGUGUUCAUCGGAGAAACCCCAACCAUGGACAUCACCUAAACUCCAAUCCCGAGUCAAACCCGGCUGAAUACAAUACUUCUGGUCGCUUGUGCAUUUUCCAGCAAUUUUUUAGUCCAAGACAAUACUUGAACACAAAAGUUCCAUCGGAGUUCCUGUUUUUUCGGUGAGGUCGUCGAUUUGUUGAGGUUGCCCGUUCGAGGUCGUAUUCGGUGAGUCAAGCUUAACUAAGGUCUGUUUUCUUUUAGUUGUCAAAUUUGGAUCUUCAUUUUUGUACCUCAUCUUGUACUGAUUCGUGUCACGCUUGAAUAAAUGUGGAUGUAUUCAUAUGGUCUUGUAUAUUCAUUUGGCUCUUUGGUUUUGGAAACUUUGGAUUCAAAUUUUGCAUAUUCUGCUUAUUUGCUUGUUAAUUGAUUCUUAAUGUAGAAACAGAAAUUUGGAAAGUGGCUUUUCUAUUUUAAAUUUCAAUUGAAGGCAUCGUUGUUGGAUGAAUUUGGAAAUAUGUUUCGUUCAGCUGGUUCUCUUCCGCAUGGAGGUUGUACUGUGAAUUUCCAUUUUGCUAUAUGUUUUAUGGUUGAGGCGAAAUAUAAGAGAUAUUGACGACUCUUAUUAUAUUUUGAUCUACCAUUUUUAUUUUGAUUAUUUAGCUUUAUUUUGACUAUUUGUUGGCCCCGUGUGUUUUAGAUACCAUAGUAGUCCAGUACAAUUUGUUUGCAUUGGCCCGUAGGGUAUGGGAAGGAUCGAAUACACUAGUAUUAAAUUAGACUGCAUACUUUAGAUAUCGGGCUCGACCUAAUAAGAAUAAAAAAUAAACAUGGGCAUGACAUUUAGAAAUCGAGGCGUGCCAUUUAGUUGAAUUUUUCAUGGCCGUCACAAAGUUGAAAGUGUGUAGUUACUUUAGGCGCGCUAUUUAAAAAUUACUUUCCUAAACUCGGGUGUGCAUUUCAUGUGACCCAAAUUCAAAUCUCAACAACGUUAAAUAAAAUGUGUCUUGGACCGCGGGUGCAUUUUAUGUGGCGUGGUCCCAAGACGUGUUUUAGAUGACGUUGAAAUCUUCCCUAAAAAUAAUUAAAAGCGGUUAAUAAAUUAAAAUCCGCCAUAGGUUAAAACGUGUUUAAAAUCAGAUAAAUAGGCCAGUUAUAAUAGUUGAGCGGUCGUUCUAGAACCACAGAACCCAGAAAUGCCUAACACCUUCUCCCGAGUUAACAAAAUUCCUUACCUGGAUUUCUGUGUUCGUAGACUAUAUAACAGAGUCAAUCUUUCCUCGAUUCAGGAUUUAAAAUCGGUGACUUGGGACACCAUACAUUAUCCCAAGUGGCGACUCUGAAUAAACAAAAUAACCCUGUUUCGAUUGCCACUUAAAUUGGAAAAACUCCCUUAUACCCUUCCAAGUGUAGGAAAAAGGAGGCGUGACAAGUUAAUUCAAUCGAGGUCGAAUGUAGACUUAGAAAAUAAUUCGAGUGAGAUCAAAUGUACAUUUCCUUUGUUAAUUCGAACGAGGUCGAAUGUAAGUUAAUUCGAGCGAGGUCGAAUGUAGAUCAAUUUGAACGAGGUCGAAUGUAAGUUAAUUCGAGCAAGGUCAAAUGUAGAUUGAUUCGAACAUGGUCGAAUGUAAGUUAAUUCGAGCGAGGUCGAAUGUAGACUUAGAAAAUAAUUUAAGUGAGAUCGAAUGUACAUUUCCUUUGUUAAUUCGAAUGAGGUUGAAUGUAAGUUAAUUCGAGUGAGGUCGAAUGUAACAUUAGAAAAUCAUUCGAGCGAGAUCGAAUGUACAUUUCCUUUGUUGAUUCGAACGAGGUCGUAUGUAAGUUAAUUCGAGCGAGGUCGAAUUUAAGUUUAGAAAAUCAUUCGAACGAGAUCGAAUUUACAUUUCCUUUGCGUUGGCGUGAUGCGUAAAUUUGGUGGAGUUGUGUAAGAAUGUCAUAUAUUGAUUUGUUUAUUCAUUGGAGAAUAUUACUCUGUUUGGUCCGUACAUAUAUCCGAGGAUUCCUAGUCUAUCUAGUCCCUUCAUCGCUCGGCCUAGAGAAUUAGUCGAUAGGCGGGGCGAUGAACUUAAUACCUAAAAUUUGAGAUGUCCUAUUCGUCGCCUCAUUAAAAGCCUCUCAGAGAAAACCCAAUUAGGACAAAACUCGUGUGAGGGAAAAAGAGUACGACUUGGAGGACGUCUAUCUUUAGAAGUUGAAGUAUUUGAGGUGGGCGACGUUCCAAUUUUUUGGUAGUAGUUUUCCCUUCAUUGUUUCUAGUUGGAAUGACCCUUUAUUUUUUGUUGCCGUGAUUUUGUAUGGUCCAUCUCAAUUGGUUCCCAGUUUUCCCUCACGUGGGUCUUUGCUCGCUUGUGUUUUGGCUUUGAGUACAUAGUCCCCUACCUUGUGUGGUCUGACUUUGGCUUUUUUGUUGUAGUAUAGUUCUGCUUGCUAUUUUGAGCUAUCAUUCUUAUGUAGGCCAUGUUUCUUUCCUCAUCUGUUUCGUCGAAGUCUUACUUUAUGCUUUCAUCAUUACUUGGUCUGCUCUCGUUGGAGUAUCUCAAACUUGGUUCCCCGACUUCGACUGGUAUCACUAUAUUAGUCCCAUAGACUAGUGAAUAUGGCGUUUCUCAUGCGCUUGUUUUUGGCAUGGUGCGGUAUGCCUAUAGAACUUUCGGUAACAGUUCUAGCCACAAUCCCUUGGCGUCCUCAAGCUUCUUCUUCAUGAUGUUCAAUAUUGUUUUGUUGGAGGACUCUGCCUGACCGUUGCGUGCAGGAUGAUAUGGCGUGGAGAGUAUUUGCUUGAUGUGCCAUUUCUUGAAGAAUUUGGCGGUCUUUUUGCGAUGAAUUGGGGUCCAUUAUCACAACUAAUUUCUUUGGGGAUGUCGAAGCGGCAUAUGAUGUUCCUCCAUAUGAAUAUGAUAACUUCCUAUUUGCGUAUUUGGGCAAUUGCACCUGCUUCUACCCGCUUGGAAAAAUAGUCAGUUAAAACCAAAAGAAAUCAUACAUUACCUCGUCCUGCUGGAAGGGGUCCGACGAUAUCCAUACCCUAUUUGAUGAACGGACAAGGCGAUGUAACUGAGUAGAGAUGCUCGCCCGCCUCUUGGAUCAUUCGAGCGUAUUUUUGGCAUUGUUUGCACUUUCUAACGAAGUCGGCAGCUUCUUUUUUCAUGGUGAACCAGUAAUAGCCUGCCCAUAUAAGGCAUCUAACGAGGGAUCGAUUACCGGUAUGGGCUCUACAGUGGCCUUCGUGUACUUCUUCGAGGACACACCUAGUUUGGUUUGGUCCUAAGCAUUUCGCCAAGGGACCGCUAAAACAUUCUUUUGUACAAGUCAUGGUUGAUGAUGUUGUAUCUGGACACCUGCCUUCGAAUCUUCUUGGCUUCUUUUUUGUAGGAUGGGAGCACUCUGUCCUGCAAAUAUGACAUAAUAUGGUUGCACCAGUCCUAUAGUGCGUACCUCAAUUUGGUCUAUUAACGAACGGAGGAAGGUGACGACAUUUUCCUUUCCGCUUAUGUUCUUAUGGCUGCUGCUAAUUUGGCGAGGCUGUCUGCUUUGUUGUUUUGUGUUCGAGGUAUCUGAUCGAGUUGGCACUCAUCGAACUCGAGCAAUAGCUUAUGAAUUUCUGCCUGAUAUUUUUGUAGCCUUUGUUCUUUGAUUUGGAAAGUCCCCGUGACUUGGUUGACGACGAGUUGUGAGUCACAUCGGAGGAUGACUCGCCGUGCUCCAUACUCGAGAGCUAGUUCUAGUCUUGCAAUCACGACUGUCACACCUCUUUUUUACUACACCUGUAAGGGUAUAAGGGAGUUUUUCCAAUUUAAGUGACAAUCGAAACGAGAUUAUUUUAUUUAAAAUUCAGAGUCGCCACUUGGGAUAAUUUAUGGUGUCCCAAGUAACCAGCUUUAAAUCCCGAAUCGAGGAAAGGUUGACUCUAUUUUACAGUCCACGAACACAGAAAUCCGGGUAAAGAAUUCUGUUAACCUGGGAGAAGGUGUUAGGCAUUCCCUGGUUCCGUGAUUUUAGCACGGUCGCUUAAACUAUUAAAUUGGCCUAUUAUCUGAUUUACUACAUGUUUUAAACAUAUUGUGCAUUUUUAAACCUUAGAACCGCUUUUAAUUAUUUUAACCCAUUUUUAGGGUUUAUGAAAUUAUUUCUUGAACAAGUUACGAUUGUCGUACACUUACCGUUUUGGAACACACCGCAAACCACGCUACAUGAAAUGCACCCAUGGUUUGCGACAUGUUUAUUUUUAUUAUUGUUCGAAGUUAUUAUGAUCGGGUCACAUGAAAUGCACACCCAAAUUGAGGAUUACGUAUCGUGACCAUGCCACGGGAACCAUACCCAUAGUCACGAUGAUUUAUUUACGCGCCUAAAGCAACUACGAUGAAUCAUUUCCUCACUAACAGUUCAAUUAUUCAAAAAUUGAAAGUAUAUUAAUAAUGCAAGAAAGUAAGAUUCUGAAAAGAUAUAAUACUACUACAAGACAAAAGAGUGAAUGGGGGUGAACAAAAAAGUAUGGCCACGUUACUGAUUUUGAUCACAUUUCUCAAGUCUCUUUAAUUCAAUAUUGGCCAAAAUGCCAUAGUAAAUAUACAACACUCAUUUUUAUUGUACAUAGGUCAAACAUACAUCCAUAGUUUUUGCUCAUUUUUAAACCUCACCAUAUAUUUCAUGAAUCAAAUUGGAAGUAAGAAACGUAGUAAACAUACAACUCUCAAGAGAUAAUUGAACAAACACAAACAAGAAUAAUCACACUUAUCCAAUGAAAAGAAAUACCCGAGUACCAUAAGUAUAACCCAUAAUCUUUUCUUUACAAAUAAACAUGACCCCAAAAAUAUCACAUGAAUCUUAGCUAGAAGAUAAUUAUGGCACGAAAAUCACAAAGGGAAAAAGGGGCAGUGAAGAAGCAAAGGAAGAAAUUUUCAGCAGGUUUACCGCAAAUAGAGCAAGGAAGAAUCAGACCUUUAUAGUGAUGAACAAAUAUGAAAAUCUACAGCUCAAUCAAACCAAACAGAGCAACAAUCGUCGGAAUAAAAGCCGAAGCUACGAACCGGAACCUCGAGACAGAAGCCUCGUCUUAUCUUCAAUGGAGCCUGGUUACUCAACCGGUUUUCGCUGGAAUGAAUGGGUGUUUUACAGUGAAGAAAGGGAAAGUUUUAGGUGGUUUUGAAGUGCUAACAAUGGUGUUUUGCGACUGAUUUUUGGAGGUGAGCAACGAUGGUGCUGGGAUGGUUUCAAAUUGCUCACAUGGCUAUUUUAGGAUGGAUGAAAAAUGGUAUUUGGUCUGCUAUUUCUCAGGUGCAAUAAAACAGAGGUUUCUUUUCCUACUCUUAGAUCGAAGUUCUUUCUAUCAAGGAAGAAGAAGAGCUCGCCUCUCUCCGUUGCUAUGUUCGUUCACUAUGUAUGAGAAGAAGAUGGAGUGUGGUUGCUAAUCCUUUUUCGAAUUGGGAUGAAGCUGCCCCUUUUUCUUUUGUUUGUUUUUUUAGUCCAGGUAUGUCGUUGAUGGUUCUUCCCCAGAUUUUCUCUCCUCUCUUUUCGUUUUUUUCCUUAAUCUCUGAUCCCGACAAUUUCUGCUUCUGCUAUAUUUUUUUUUGGUUUUGUGGGUGUGUAUUUCUCAAUCAUUGAGGGAAAUGAAGGGAAGUAUAGACAUUGUUUGUGGCUUGGAGAAAAGUGAAUUGCAAGUUCUGAUUUUUACCUCCUCUGUUUUUCGUCCCUUUCACAACCCCUAUUUCUCUCUAUCUUUGUUUUUUCGUCUCACUCUCUCUUUUCAGACCUCCCUCUCUUGUGUAUAUCUGUGUGUGCUUUUAUAUAGUAUUAUAUCUUGAUGAGAAAGUUAAUGGGUGGUCCCCAUGAAAAUGCCAAAAUUAAGAGUAUAACCAAAAGGAAUCAAAUUCUGUUAUGGAUGGAAGGAAGGCCCGUGAUUUUGAUAGAAGAUAUGGAUGAAAAUUAAUUUUGGAGUUGGGACCUACUGAAGAAUAAGAAAUUAAGGAAGGACAAAAAUAUGGGAGCCACGUAAAGGAGAUCUAAUUUUCGUUUCACCUUUUUUUCUUUCUUCUUGGAUUUUUUCCUUUGCUUUUUCACGUUUUUUUGCUUUCCGUUUUUCGUUUUGUUUUCUUCUUCUUUUUUCUAUUCUUUUGUUUGUUUUCAAUUUUAAUCUUUUGAAGAUGAAACAAAAUUUUUAGUUUAUUUAAACUAAUGGGAUAUUAAAAGAAAGAAAUAAAAUAAUUUUUAUUUUAAAAAAAAUCUAACUACUUAAGAUUUCAUUAGAGGCCUACAACUUUUAAACUAAACUAAGUAAAUAUGAAUAUAUUUUUUUGAACUUUUUCUUUUUCUUAUUUUUUUUGGAAAAUAAAAAUGCCAAAAUUAUUUUGUAUUUUUUCAAAAGUAAAAUUAACUAGACAAAAUAUCAACUAGUAGUUAAAAUAAGAGAAAAUAUUAUUGUAAUUUUUGUGAUAAAAUAAAGUAAAAGUGUCAAAAUUAGCUAAAAUAUCGAUAUUAGACCUAAACUAAAUAUUUAUAUGCUAAAAUAUGUAAAAUCUUGGGGAGGGUCAAAAAUCACAUGUCUACAGCUGCCCCUUUUUGACUGGAAAUACGAAGUAUUUUCAGACAAAGAUUGGCUAGACAGAUUUUUUGACCCGACCCUUAUUAAAGAGACCAAAAGCUAAAAGAGCAGAGACUGUGACGAGCCCUGGUAUCUGAGCUGCCUACAUAUCCUUGGCUAUAAAGGAAUCAGGCCACGUGUAGUUCAGAAGUGAGUGAGAUGAUGGAGUAUACCGAGGUGGAGAGCCGAUCGAGGUGUCAUUCCGUCGAGGUUCCAGUCCGCGGUACUGUUAUUACAUCAAAAUCAAAAAAUGAAAAAGACUAGCUAAGUCUGUCAACUAUGAGUUACAAGAUUCAUAUCUAUAAGUCUUCUGAAGCUUGGUCUUGAGUCUUGAAGGGCUCUUCAUGUGGACUUUAGAUUUGAAUCUUGACGCUUGCUAGCUGCAGGUGCUAGUUCAUUCUUCUUCGGAUCAAGACCGGACAUGCAAUGCUCGUGAUUUCAACCAUGUCUUGAGCAGUUCACAUCUUUCUCUACUUCUGCAUUUGGAUUCACUUCCCUCAUUUUCUUUUCUUUCUUGUUUCUUGGAUUGAAACUUCUUCUUUGGUCAUCUCAAACUAUUGACUCGCAUUCUUGCCGCGAGCUUCUGCUACUUUAAAUUUAGAUUAAACUCUGAAAUUAUGACGACCCGGUCGGUUGUCUUAUGAGUUACCACUCCAUUUUCCCUAUUUUAGCUUUUUUAUGCUUCGUUAUCUAUGUUUUUGUGGUAUUGGGUUGGUCGGAUCAAGUCAGGAAUGAGUUUGGUGAAGUUUGAGACGCUUAGUCUCUUUUAAAAAGGCUUAAGUUGGAAAAGUCAACCGGAUCUUGACUUAUGUGUUAGAAGGCUCGGAAGUCAGUUCUGAUGGUUCGGUUAGCUUCGGGAGGUAAUUUGUAACUUAGGAGUGUGAUCGGAAUGAGUUUUGGAGGUUCGGAGUAGAAUUAGGCUUGAAUUGGCGAAGUUAAUAGUUUGGCAAUUUCCGGUUGUUAUGCGAGAUUUUGAUAUAGGAGUCAGAAUGGAAUUUUAAGAGUUGCAGUAGCUUCGUCGUGUUCAUUUGGGAUGUGUGUGUAAAAUCUUAGGUCAUUCGGACGCGGUCUGGUAGGGUUUUUGAUCAAAAGCGUAUUUCAGAAGAUUUUUGAAACUUAGGCUUGAAUCCGAUGUGAUUUGGGAGAUUUGAUAUUGUUUGAGGUGUUUUGAUGAUUGGGACAAGUUUGAAUAAGGUAUUCGGUUAUGUGUGUGCUUUUGGUUGAGCACCCGGGGGGCCUCGGGGUGAUUUCGGAUGGUUAACGAGAAGAUUUGAAACUUGGGAGAUUGCAGAAAAUUUGCUGCUUCUAGUGUAUUCGCACCUGCGGUUUGGGGCCUGUAGGUGCGGCGCCGCAGAUGCGAGGGAGAAGCCACAAAAGCGCUUUUGGAGGGGAUUGUCAGGAAACCGCAAAUGCAGUUGUGGUGGCUGCAUCUGCGGAACCACAAAUGCGGAAGAAGGAUCGCAGAUGCGGUAGUGACCGGCUUUAGUGAUUUUCGUAGAAACGGAGUGUUAACCAUAAAUGCGGUACCGCAGAAGCAGAUUUUGGACCGCAGAUGCGGGUAUGUCUGGACAGAACAUAUAAGUUAGACCAUUUCGCGAAAUUGGGUUAUUUCACCAUUUUUGGACCUCGACUUGGGAACUUUUGGACGAUUUUGAAGGGAGAUUUCAAGGGAACUUCGUUAAGGUAAGGAUUUUAGACCUAAAACACACUUCUAUGGUAAUAUUUCAUGGAUUAAGACUGAAAUUAAAGAAAUUAAAAGGUUAAAAAUGGAGGGUUAGGGCUUGAGUCUAAGAGGGCUUUAAAUGUGGAUUUGAGGGGUCAUUUGGACUCCGAUUUUGAUGUUGUUGAUAUGUAUGAACUCGUGGGGAGAUAUGGAACCCGUUGUUGUGAAAAUUUCUGAAUUUCGAGAAGUGGGUCCGGAGCUCGGGUUUUGGCUAAUUUUGAGAUUUUUGAUAUUUUUCGCUUGUUUUCGCUUGGGUUUUGUUCCCUUAGCAUAUUGUAAUGUAUUCGUUCUGAUUUUAGAUAGAUUCGAUGUACGUGGAGGCCGAUUAGAGGGGCAAAGGCGUCGUGAGUUUGAGAUUUAGCCGGUUCGAGGUGAUUAAUGAUUGUAAAUGAUGCUCUNNNNNNNNNNNNNNNNNNNNGAUUGAUGAUUUUACCGUAUAUUUGACUGAAACUUAUUUGCUAUCAUCAUGAUUUGGGCUGAUUGCUAUGUUUGGGCUUCGUGCCAACUAUUUGAACCCCGGGGUUUUUAUUACUAUUUCCUCACUAUUUUUGACUUAUUACUUGAACUCAGUCAUGUUAUUUUCCACUGUUUUACUACUCAGCCAUUUUUACUCAGUUUUGAAACUUAAAUGAUAUUUUUAAAUGAUGUUUUGGGCUGAGAAAUACUGUUUUACUAUUGCCCAAGGGGCUUGUGAUGAUUUUUGGACUGAGUAAGGCUGAUGGCCUAGUUGUGAGGAUACACUGAUACUGAUGUGAGGCCGAGGGCCUGAGAUGCAUAUAUACGCCAUGAGGUGGCUUGAUUUAUAUUAUGCCGAGGGUCUAGAUUUGAUGCCACGAGAUGACUUGAUAUUGCGCUUGGGCCGUAAAGGGCCCCUCCCGGAGUCUGUACACCCCCAGUGAGUGAGGAUACCCAUUGUGAUGUGAGAUAGAGCCCGAGGGGCUGAUAUUGUUCUGAGAUUGAGCCCGAGGGGCUGGUACUAUUCUGAGAUGUUGCCCGAGGGGCUUAUUUGUUGAUACUGUGCCUGAGGGGCGAACUUCUAUUUGUUUACUUACCUGUCAAUUACUUGUUUUACUUGUUGAAAAGGGAUUUACUCGACUCUUCACUGUUUUACUGUUUUAAGUGAUUUUUACUGCUUCAGUAUAGAAUGCCUUGUGUUUUACGUGUUUUCUUACUUUCAGUCGUUAUUUACAUUUGUUACUCAUUGAGUUGGAGUACUCACUUUACUCCCUGCACCCUGUAUGCAGAUUCAGGCGUAGCUGGUACCGCUCCUGAGUGUUGAUUCCUCUAGUUUCAGGCGGUUUUCGGAGACUACGAAGUAGCUGUUGACGUCCGCAGCCCCGUGUCUCUACUUCUCUAUCAUUUCUAUUUCCUUUCAAACACUUGUAGUAUUUUAUGACUUUAGAAGACUAGUAUUAUGGUUAGAUGCUCGUGACUUGUGACACCCCGGUUAGGGCUGUGUCGGGUUGGACUUUCUGUAUUGUUAUCGAUAUUUCCGCUAUUCAGUAUUGUUUAAAUCAUGUUUAGACUUUUUUAUGUUGAUUAACUGCUUUAAAAGUUGAGUUGGGUUGAACUGGCUGGCCUUGUCUUCACGAGAGGCGCCA
RNAcentral lists this long non-coding RNA (10279 nucleotides) under Nicotiana tabacum (common tobacco). RNAcentral's name for it is "long non-coding RNA (NTAB_LNC002859)". The record is from RNAcentral. Lineage: Eukaryota; Viridiplantae; Streptophyta; Magnoliopsida; Solanales; Solanaceae.